RNAcentral lists this ribosomal RNA (482 nucleotides) under uncultured bacterium. RNAcentral describes it as "partial 16S ribosomal RNA". It matches the Rfam family "Bacterial small subunit ribosomal RNA", at positions 30 to 507 of the family's 1533-position model. The record is from RNAcentral.
AUUGAACGCUGGCGGCAUGCUUUACACAUGCAAGUCGAACGGUAACAGGCCGCAAGGUGCUGACGAGUGGCGAACGGGUGAGUAAUGCAUCGGAACGUGCCCAGUCGUGGGGGAUAACUACUCGAAAGAGUAGCUAAUACCGCAUACGAUCUAUGGAUGAACGCGGGGGACCGUAAGGCCUCGCGCGAUUGGAUCGGCCGAUGUCAGAUUAGGUAGUUGGUGGGGUAAAGGCUCACCAAGCCAACGAUCUGUAGCUGGUCUGAGAGGACGACCUGCCACACUGGGACUGAGACACGGCCCAGACUCCUACGGGAGGCAGCAGUGGGGAAUUUUGGACAAUGGGCGCAAGCCUGAUCCAGCAAUGCCGCGUGCAGGAAGAAGGCCUUCGGGUUGUAAACUGCUUUUGUACGGAACGAAACGGCUCUGGUUAAUACCCGGGGCUAAUGACGGUACCGUAAGAAUAAGCACCGGCUAACUACGUG